ACUUUCAACAACGGAUCUCUUGGCUCUCGCAUCGAUGAAGAACGUAGCGAAGUGCGAUAAGUAAUGUGAAUUGCAGAAUUCCGUGAAUCAUCGAAUCUUUGAACGCAAAUUGCACUCUCUGGUAACCCGGGGAGUAUGCCUGUUUGGGGGUCAGU
This 155-nucleotide ribosomal RNA is filed under the name Rhizophagus irregularis. RNAcentral describes it as "5.8S ribosomal RNA". It matches the Rfam family "5.8S ribosomal RNA". Rfam says of the family: 5.8S ribosomal RNA (5.8S rRNA) is a component of the large subunit of the eukaryotic ribosome. It is transcribed by RNA polymerase I as part of the 45S precursor that also contains 18S and 28S rRNA. The record is from RNAcentral. Lineage: Eukaryota; Fungi; Glomeromycota; Glomeromycetes; Glomerales; Glomeraceae.